UGCUCACCCUCUCCUUGUUUUCCGUCUUCAGAUGCUGUGAACGGAGUUGUUUUGACCCUGCCGUCUCUGCCGCUGGAAGGUGGGAACGUGUCUCUGAGUUGCAGCUGGUCUGCGGGUUCAGAGGUCAGUGUGGUUUGGGGUAAAGGAGGAGCUGCGCUUUCCUCUGACAGCCGCAUUACUAUCAGCGCUGGAUCUCUGCUCAUUAAACAGGCCCGGAGAGACGAUGCAGGAGAAUACACAUGCACCGUCAGCAAUGCCGUCAGCGCUCAAAGCGCCAAGACCACCCUCAGCGUCUACUAUGGUCCAGAUGCCCCACAGUUGACUAAGACCUCAAGUGAGUGUGUUGGCGGGGGUGAUGCUACGGUGGGACAGACGGUGCGUCUCACCUGUACGUCUGCCUCUCUACCUCCUGCCUCCUUCUCAUGGGAACUUAACGGCCAGCCGGUGACCACCGGCCAAUCAGGGAGUGGUGUGCUGAGUCUGCAGAUCUUCUCCUCCAAUCAGAGUGGACGUUACACCUGCAUUGCACGGAAUGACGUCACAGGAGUGACAUCGAAGCAGCAGAUAGACAUGGCCAUUGUGGGUACAUGUCUCAGCGGAGGUGCCGUAGCAGGGAUCGUUGUUGCCUGUGUUGUUGCACUCAUCAUAAUUAUUGUUGUAAUUAUUUUGCUUCUGCGACAAAGAAACGUUGAUCGUAGACUCCGAGAUACUAUUGGACUUCAGAAGACAAACCAGAAUGAAGGAACCACAAUUGCAAACAGAGCUCUUGUCAAUGAAAACCACCGUGAUCCCACAUUACACAACUCACUCCCACAAAACUUCACUGCUGUUCCCAAUAACAACAAUGGGAACAUAAACACAAUGUCACAAAACAUGCCCAGCAACUCCAACCCACUCCAUCAUAAUGGCCAUCUGCACACCGAUGCAUUCCAACACAACUUCAGUACAGUCCCAGACAAUGGGCAUCAAAACAAGUCAUAUCCAAACAAUGACCCUCAGAGGUCGUUCCUACAGCCUGUCCAACACAAUCCCAAUAUUCUCAUACAAACGGGCAGUUCUCAGCCUGGUGCGCUUGCCCAUACAGUUCAUGUAAACCUCAACACCUUGCCACGAACCGACCAGUUUAAUAAUUCACAACCUCAAACGGUGCAUGUCAACUUGAACACAUACCCUCCAGAAGCAAAUCAGGUGGUCCAGCAACAUGCAGAUCAUGGAGAAAGUGCACUACAGAGUCAACAUACUAACGCCAACCAUCAAAAUAAUUCUCAGACUGGCUUGCUGAACUCUGACCCUUUGAGAUUGGGUAAUCAAACACAAACAAUGCUCAAUAAUGCUUCAUCAAAUGGUUCUCGUCAGCCCAACAGCUUCAUUCAGACUGGAUACUCGCACCCUACCAACCAAACCAAUGCAAACCGCCAAACUGCCAACUCAAGAUCAUCAGCAGAAGAGCGAGGUCAACGUUCAAACCCCCUUCAGACCAACAACCAGUUCAAUGACUCCAGAGCGCACCUCCAACAGAUGCCUUUGGACCGUUUGCAGGGAACGCCGGCGUAUCCCAACCCCGACGUCUAUAGUUCAGACAGUAGUGUAUCUUCAGAUUGGCCACAACGAGAUGCACGGAGGGAUCGUUCUGGUCUGAGAUAUCGGGAAACUGAACCUUUGGGAAGGUUGACCCAAGCUGCUCCUCCCCAAAGAAGAGACCUCCAGAGACCAAUCGUGCUCAACGACUCUCAAUUGGAACCAAAUGUGCAAAGGCAAGUGGUCCAACAGAACUUAAGCACCCAACCGCAAGCCCAAUCUCAAAUCCAGACCGCAAUACCUCAAACCCAAACCUCUCAGGGUCAGACUCCAAUCCCCAUUGGUCUACCAAGAGGAACAAUCAUACCUGAAACACAAACUGGCACCAGACCAAAUCAGACCGUGCCUCAGCCAUCCAUUCCUCUCACUGAGGCUGCACUACGCCAACACACCGCCCAGAUCAAUAACCCUUUCACCAACUGGAUCCAGCAGUCUCAAGCUGCCUUGCAGAACCCUGGACCUUCUCAACCCAUCCAGCAGCUUAACAAAGUGGGGCAGAUGCCUCCUGCUCCACCUCCGGUGCUGCGGCCGGACGAGUUCCAGAAACUUCCUCGUGAACGCAUGCAGCAGCCACGCACCAUCCAGCCUGUCACCGUGCAACGUAGACACAGAUCUCCAAACGUGCACAAGCAGACUCAAGUGUUGCAUACGAGCCCUCAGCGAAUGCCAGGAGUGCAUCCCAUGCAUGCAACCAUGCAUGGACACCCAACACACAUGCGACAGGUCCACAGAGGCAGACCCAGACGUUGAGAAAAUGCAGCGCUCGUCUGGCUCGACGCUAUUUGCACUGCGAAAAACUUUCGUCCACAGCACAAUGUCUCUGUGGUGGAAAGAAACAAAGGCUCAGCCAUUCCUCCGGCCCUCGGCUUAUUGUGCCAUACAAAUCUUUGUGUUUUGUCGGAGAGACCGCAUUAUUGAUAAAAAGACUGAUCUUUUUGUUUCUCCUGCACAGCUGUCAUGUAGGCACGUGAAAGCCGCGGCUGUUGAACAGGACACUGUGUGAAUUUCAUCCGUCGGAACAAUGCUGCUUUGGGAUUUUUCUUGUGCUCAAGUGUCUGAAAAUAAAACACAAUGCAGUGUUUUUCCACAGACAGGAAGACUUGAACAAAAUCCAAAUGAAUUAGGAUGGCUGGCAGAGUUUGAACUACUAAAUGAUAAAUAAUGGGACUGCCACGGUUUGUCCUCUUGCAACUAUUUAUUCAGCUUUCUGCUCACAGAUGCUUCUUGUAGCGCCGCUCAAUUAGUGCGAUCCGCUACGGUGCUUUUGUGGAUGGAUUACGCAUUUGAGUAUGAAGGAGACCCACCUAACGAACGUGUACUUAAUGAAGCUCUUACAUUUUUAUGUUAAUGAUGUGGAAAAUGCUAAUGAGUUUAAGUAAAAUAGGUUGUUGACAGGC
This 2975-nucleotide long non-coding RNA is filed under the name Sinocyclocheilus grahami. RNAcentral describes it as "lncRNA (ENSSGRG00000047281.1)". The record is from RNAcentral. Lineage: Eukaryota; Metazoa; Chordata; Actinopteri; Cypriniformes; Cyprinidae.